GCCUUGUGCUGGGAGUGAGCCCGAUUGCAAUUGUUGUUUGUCUAAUAAAUAUACUUAUAUGCAGCUCCGGAGUCCUGAGGUAACUAGGGUGAAUUUUCACCUAUCAUAUUUGGGGGCUCGUGACCGGGAUUCCAACAACCUCAACGGCUCUCCACGCUGGGCUAAUCAUCAGGACCUGAAUCAUACGGAGGAGUAUGAGACUCUGUUUUUCUAAAGACCUCCAACUUGAAUUGGAAGGAGGCCAGGGCCUGCCAGCGAGGAGAGCCGAGAGUGAAGGAAUUGAAUUAGACUAUAGGGGUUGGACUCCGAGCUGUUUAUAUUUCCCUAACGAAUGUUCUAGUCCCCUGGGCGCAGUCACCUUCCUUAAGCCUGUAAAAGAGAGCUAGUGUCUCUCCCGAAGCCCUGAAGCGCGUCCGGUGGAAGAAGACGAGAAGGCCUCUGAAGGAAGGGUAUAGAAGGAAGGGUGGCCUCUGGGCGCAGAAACAUAGCUAGGGAAAAUAUUUAACAGGGAACCUGUGAGGCUGAAACCAAGGUUGGGUCGGGAGAUUGGGUCCUAAUCAACAGCCUCAAAAGAAAACACUGCCACUUGCCCAAGUGGGACAGACCAUACAAAGUGCUACUGUCAACAUCUACCACAGUCAAAAUAGCGGAGAGAGCCACCUGGAUACAUCUAACACCAGAGUUCAAGGCAGGAAUCGCGCACCACAAUGCUCACUGCAGUGGUGGAUGCUGCAUAGAGUGGAUGAUGGAGUCGAUGCAAGGCGCCAGUAUGGUGCCGAGUCACGAGAGAUAGAUAUGGAGGAAGAUGAUAGUGCGGACUACCAACAAGCUGCGGAUCACCAACAAGCUGAAGCACCGAACUUUCCGCCAGUUGAAAUGAAAGAAGAUGAAGAAAACCUGUGGCCACAUCUCAGCAAGCAGUUUGCCUUCCAACGUAAAAGAGGCAACAGCUAUAUGCUGUGUAAACUGUGCCUAAUCCGUCAGUCAGAACUUUCUGCUUAUACAAAUUCAUCUUCAAAUCUGCGCAAGCAUGUGUUGGUCUAGUCUAUGUCAGACAACACCUUGACCGGAUGUUGGAGGCUGGAGCAAGUUGGACAACAUUCAUCAGAUGAAGAUGAUUUAUUUUCCUCAAUGAAGUCCAGAAGGUCAGAAGGUACAGGGGAGUUAGAAGGGUACCUAGCCUGUGUCUCAGUCAAUAUGGAUCUGCUGAACGCCUUUCAGAAUAUCAAAAAACUGUCCCUGAAACUCAAUACUGGCCUACCUGC
Long non-coding RNA from Clupea harengus (Atlantic herring), 1265 nucleotides. Lineage: Eukaryota; Metazoa; Chordata; Actinopteri; Clupeiformes; Clupeidae. The record is from Ensembl.